GAGAUAGCAGACACCAAAAGAGAAAGACUCUCACUGUUUUCCAAGGUGGUAACCUUUCAUCUUCUCCACUUUAGCUCAUUUUGUGACUACAAUGUCUACCAAUUACAGGGGUCAUUUGAUCUCAGAGGAAAUAGAAAGAAAAAUUGCACCUUGUUAAGUAAGCCUAAAACAGAGCUUUGAACAAACUUCAAAAUAGUAUUUCUUGUCAAAGUAACUUGCAUCCUUCCUGGAGACACAGGACAGAUCUGCCAAGGAGGGCAAUGGCCUGACUCCAGACACCUCAGUGGGUUUCCCAGGAGACCAGUCCUCCUCAUUUCCUGUACCUGAAAUAUGAAGGUGCUCUUUAACAAAAGAAGAAAGAACGUUGUAAUGGAAAAAUGAAAGCCAACAUGAAUAUAUACUCCUAGAUCCAAAAUGGUGAGGAAAUUCAGUUUAGAAGGUCACUGAGCACCAGUCCAUAAGGAUGAAGGGAGCAGAGUCAACAAACAGGGUUUCCCGUGGCCUUCAGCUAGCUGUAAGUAUAAAGAAACUUGGAACAGAGAAGUGGAAAUAAACCUGCUAUAAAGCCCAAAUCAUCCAAACUGGACAAGCUGCAAUAUGAUAAGCCACAGAGACUCCAGACACCCAAAGGUUCAC
This 636-nucleotide long non-coding RNA is filed under the name Mus musculus (house mouse). RNAcentral describes it as "predicted gene, 47957". Lineage: Eukaryota; Metazoa; Chordata; Mammalia; Rodentia; Muridae. The record is from RNAcentral.